ACAGGGUGUCAAGAUUCCAUUUCCUGUUGUUCAGGAAAGGCUUGAUCUAGGCACUUCUUGAAUGGAAACAUCACUGCAUUUCCUUGUAUGCCAGGUGACAGCAAGAGAGGAAGAGUCAUCUAAACUCAAUAUUUGCCAACACCCAGCAAUAUAUUGACUUCCCAUGGCAAUGCUGACGUGAGUUAUGUUCAGACUUGUAUGUAGGCUAACAUAAAUUCCUCCCUGCCCAAUUUCAUGUAACUAGUGGGCACUCAUCACAUAUGGCUCCGUUGUGGUGAGGUGGAAUUAUUUACUCCCUCUGCUGUGGAGACUGAAUUGGAGAUGGGAUAUACUUGAUCCACGUGGGAGCACCAGAAUCAGCUCUGCUCAGACUACCUGCCACUGAUAAAUAAUCAUGGCUGCCCCAUUAAGCCCACAUUCAGCCUCAGACUAUUUCUGGACACAAUUCUCCCCAUAGUCUUCAUUAUCUGUCAAAAAUUGUCAUAUAAGAUGAAACCUACUUUUCUACCCUACGCUCUACCCAAUGGACCAUCUGCAAACUCCUGUCUGGUGUCCACUCUGCUCAGAAACCCGCCCUCGGCUGGGGCUGCCUCCUUGCUGUUGCCCUUGGCUGGCUUCCAGAGCUGCCUCUUCUUCCACAGUGCCCCUUCCCUUUAGAAAAUUAUCCCUUUCCUCCAACCCAAUAAAUAUGUAUAGCUCAGAGGUAGAAACCACUUUCUUGUGUUUUUAAAAUUAUUGUAAUCUUCCCAACCUUUUGGAUAUCCUCAAGUGACCCUUGAUUGGGUCAUAAUCUGAAAUUGGGACGCAAUAACCAACAUUUAAUUUCUGUCAGGUCUCCAGUCAUCAGCACGUUGACUUGAACUCCAUCUGGAAUGAUCUAAAAUUAAAUUACCAUUGUCUUUGCCCUUUAAAAAAUAAAAUGUCUGUAUUAUAGCUGCCUGCUACCUACGCUUUGAGCAUGUUAGGCUGAAAAAGUACAUACAGACCAAUAGUCUUUCAAUGAAUUUAAUUUCCUACUUAUUUCCUGAAUGUAAUUCAUUAAAAUGAACAGUUGAAAGAAAAAUGCCUUACACUCGCCUAUAUUUGGAUACCUAACAGUGACUAAGAAAUCCACCUCAAGGAGGAAGACCCUGGAGUCAGUCAAAGCACAGAGGAUUUUUCCAGAAAGAAGCAACAGAAAAUGCAAACUGAUUAAAGCAAAACAAGGCGGGGUUUGUUGAAAGGGCACUGAGUAGCUCACAGACUGGAAGAGCCGCAGCUGCAUGGAGCAGGCUGGUUCCAGGGCCUUGGGGGGCUGGUUCCAGGGCCCAGGCCUGGCAGCCUCUCCCUGGCACCCCCUUGGCUCAGUACGGCUCUGGGCUCCUCUUUCUCCACACAACAGGAAAGAUCCCUGUGUUCCUCGCAUCACAGACCAAAGACAGAAGGACCUUCUCCAUUGGCCUGUCCCAGUUUUAACCAUCCCAGGGAAGGUGUCUGAUUGACCCCGCUUAGCUUUUGGGUCCCUCCAUCAGCUGGAGAUGCUGGCUCAGGGAGUGGGGUAUUCUUAGGGUCCAGGCCUCGAUCCUCUGUCCAGUCCUGGGGUCUGUGAACAGAGAGAGAUGGAGGGAGUAAUGGCAGAGGAGGCAUCCAACACCCACAGCUACCACAUCCAUGCCAUGUCCCUCACACAGAUCGCAGCAUCUAAUUCUGAGCACAGGAUUGAACCGGGGGAAAAGGAAGGACACUGGGUACCGAUGGUUUCGAAGAGAGCCACUGCGAGUGUGGGAGGCCAAGGACACCAAAAGAGAAUUUCAACUGCCCGUGACAG
This 1807-nucleotide long non-coding RNA is filed under the name Homo sapiens (human). RNAcentral's name for it is "HSALNT0120956". The record is from RNAcentral. Lineage: Eukaryota; Metazoa; Chordata; Mammalia; Primates; Hominidae.